This 3244-nucleotide long non-coding RNA is filed under the name Pan troglodytes (chimpanzee). RNAcentral describes it as "long non-coding RNA NONPTRT014633". The record is from RNAcentral. Lineage: Eukaryota; Metazoa; Chordata; Mammalia; Primates; Hominidae.
GCUGCGCAUACACCAUCCAAAGCAUAGAAAGAAUUUUGAGUGAUGAAGAUAAACCAUUGUUUGGUCCUUUACCUUGCAGACUGGAUGACUGUCUUAGGUCAUUGACGAGAUUUGCCGCAGCACACUGGACAGUGGCAUCAGUUUCAGUGGUGCAAGGACAUUUUUGUAAACUUUUUGCAUCACUGGUGCCUAAUGACAGCCAUGAGGAACUUCCAUGCAUAUUAGAUAUUGACAUGUUUCAUUUAUUGGUGGGCUUGGUGCUUGCAUUUCCUGCGUUGCAGUGUCAGGAUUUUUCAGGGAUCAGCCUUGGCACUGGAGACCUUCACAUUUUCCAUCUGGUUACUAUGGCACACAUCAUACAGAUCUUACUUACCUCAUGUACAGAAGAGAAUGGCAUGGAUCAAGAAAAUCCCACUUGUGAAGAAGAAUCAGCAGUUCUUGCUUUGUAUAAAACACUUCACCGGUAUACGGGAAGUGCCUUGAAAGAAAUACCAUCCGGCUGGCAUCUGUGGAGGAGUGUCAGAGCUGGAAUCAUGCCUUUCCUGAAGUGUUCUGCUUUAUUUUUUCAUUACUUAAAUGGAGUUCCUUCCCCACCCGACAUUCAAGUUCCUGGAACAAGCCAUUUUGAACAUUUAUGUAACUAUCUUUCCCUACCAAACAACCUCAUUUGCCUUUUUCAAGAAAAUAGUGAGAUAAUGAAUUCACUGAUUGAAAGUUGGUGCCGUAACAGUGAAGUUAAAAGAUAUCUAGAAGGUGAAAGAGAUGCUAUAAGAUAUCCAAGAGAAUCUAACAAAUUAAUAAACCUUCCAGAGGAUUACAGCAGCCUCAUUAAUCAAGCAUCCAAUUUCUCGUGCCCGAAAUCAGGUGGUGAUAAGAGCAGAGCCCCAACUCUGUGCCUUGUGUGCGGAUCUCUGCUGUGCUCCCAGAGUUACUGCUGCCAGACUGAACUGGAAGGGGAGGAUGUAGGAGCCUGCACAGCUCACACCUACUCCUGUGGCUCUGGAGUGGGCAUCUUCCUGAGGAGUACGGGAAUGUCAGGUGCUAUUUUUAGCUGGCAAAACCAAAGGCUGUUUUUAUUCUCCUCCUUACCUUGAUGACUAUGGGGAGACCGACCAGGGACUCAGACGGGGAAAUCCUUUACAUUUAUGCAAAGAGCGAUUCAAGAAGAUUCAGAAGCUCUGGCACCAACACAGUGUCACAGAGGAAAUUGGACAUGCACAGGAAGCCAAUCAGACACUGGUCGGCAUUGACUGGCAACAUUUAUAAUUAUUGCACCACCAAAAAACACAAACUUGGAUUUUUUUAACCCAGUUGGCUUUUUAAGAAAGAAAGAAGUUCUGCUGAAUUUGGAAAUAAAUUCUUUAUUUAAACUUUCCUUCCCAGUUUUAUAGUUUCUGGUUCUGAGGACUGAUGAAAAUCAUCUUCCAUCAGCAGAUUUUCUUGCACUGUUUGCUGUGCCCCUCAAAUAUAAUGUCUUGGGUUUUCAGAUCGAGCAAGGAGCUUCUCUUCCUAGAUUGGAUCCCAGCCCCUUUGUGGGGGUCUGACUGCAUAGUCCCAGCCAUUAUGUGAUAUUUCACGUUAUUGAUGAUAGUGAACUGUGGGUCCGAAGCUGACUCAACGGAGGCAGGGAACAAAGUCUCUGUGGUCUGUUGGGUCAUACUUCCUGGUUCCACUGAGUGGCCCAACACUGGGACUGGGUUGGUGUCCCCUCUGCUGACAGGACCCUACUCCUAGGAGCAAAGUGGUUGAUUUUGAAGGCAGUGUUCCCUUCUCUGCAUUGACUAUGAGAGAGUUGGGGGACACACAUGCAGAAGAAGCCCGUGGGGAGAAGGUGGAUUCCUGGUGUGCUGGCUGGUUUUUCAGGGCUGUUAGAGGUUUUUUUUUUUCUUUUUUUUUUUUUUAUGGCAAGACUUUUGGCUUUGAGAAAACUCACUUAGAGGGCUUUCCAAAAACUUAGGAUGGUCUAAAAAAUUAGGAUAUUCUUUUAGAAUUAGGAAGAAAAAUUAGGAUAUUCUAAAAGAAUAUGGAUUAAAAAUUUAGGAUAUUCUUUUAGAUAUCCUAAUAUCUAGAUGAGAGGCCUUCCUUCAUAAGAUCUGGUUGUUUGGGCUGUGGUUGGCAUAAGUGAUAUUUAUUUUGGCCUCUGUCACAUCCAGUUUCUUGAGCUUUUAAGGUAAGCUUCUUUUGGCUUUUUUUCAGAUGUUCACCAAGCUUAAGUUUAAAAUAAUAGGUAUUCUAAAAGAGUAUCCUAAUUUUCUUAUCUGUAUUCUUUUAGAAUACCCUAAUGUUUCAGACAGUGAUAUUCUCUUGUUAUUUCUAAGGCUAAAUUGGCAGAGUAUAUCAUCUAAAACCAAACACUGAAGAAGGUGAGAACCCACUCCCACCCAGCCAGCAUUUCCUGGAACAGACAAGCUGCUGCUUCCUUGCUGGCUCACUUAGUGCAUUCCUGGGAUGGUCUGGCACCCAGGCUUUUUAUUCUUUUUGAUCAUUGUUCUUACUGAGGUGCCUUCCUAGAACAAGAGCCACUUACAAAAUAGCUUAUAAUUAUUAUGUACCACACAACUACUAUUGUUUGAUGUAUGACUGCUGAGAGCUUGAAUACAUGCAGAGAGUGACUGAAGACUUAAUAGAGGAAUAAAUUCUGAGCCUGUCUAAGGUGGGGCUAAGGAACAGAUGAGUAAUAAGAGGCUCUUGGAUUUUUUUAACCAAUGCAACUGACCCUUUCAAUCAGUUUUCUUUGAAUUACAUCUACAAGUUUUGUUCCACUCAGCUACCAGUCAACUAGGCAUGCUCCACAGUAUCGCAGGAAGAAGGUCAGAAAUCUGGAACUGAAGCUAAAAGAAGUGAGGAUGUAGAAGCCACAUUCCUCUCCAAGGUAGUGUGUGAAAGAACCGCCCCCUCUUGACAGGAGGAUGACCAUCACCAUUCUUGCGUGGGACUGACUCACCCAGCUGAGAGGAGGACCAAUAGAAAGAAAAUUCACAUUUGAGUCCACCUCUCUCCCCCUUUUUCUGGCCUUCAUUCAUAAGAUCUGGUUGUUUGGGCUGUAGGUGGCAUAAUUCAUGUUUAUUUUGGCCUCUGUCACAUCCAGUUUCUUUAGCUUUUAAGGUAAGCUUCUUUUGGCUUUUUUUCAUAUGUUCACCAAGCUAAAAUUUAAAAUAAUAAGACCAGGUUUCUCUCUCUACAAGUGGAUUAUAAACAUUUUCACCAAAUCAUAACAAUACUCCAGCUUUCCGGUCCGACUUCC